RNAcentral lists this long non-coding RNA (346 nucleotides) under Physcomitrium patens. RNAcentral's name for it is "long non-coding RNA (PPAT_LNC006903)". The record is from RNAcentral. Lineage: Eukaryota; Viridiplantae; Streptophyta; Bryopsida; Funariales; Funariaceae.
GUCUCGACAACACAUCUCUUGGAAUUCUAGCUCACCUUUCUGGUGUUGUUCUUGUACUCAUCUGUUUAAUCUAGUUCUGUCACUUCUUCUUGAACUUCUUGUUAGAUUUCAAGUCUGUAUUUUGUGUCCGUGACAUAGAGCCUUAGGUGCAUCUUUAAGAUUGAUAAGACCUAAGUCUUUUUUUUUUCUUAGAUUUACAAUAUAUAACCUAAAAAAUUUUGGAACGAAUACAAAAGAAAUUUGAACCAUUUGGACUACUUACAUUCUUUUACUUUAACUAUUAGAAUAGAGUUGCUUAUGUACUAUAACAUAUAAUUUUUUGAUUUAAACUUAAAUAAAUUUCAAC